AUUGAACGCUGGCGGCAGGCCUAACACAUGCAAGUCGAACGAGUGGCGGACGGGUGGGUAGUGUAUGGGCAACUGCCUGACCGAGGGGGAUAACUAAUGUAAACGGUAGCUACAACCGCCUAACAUCAUAUGUGCCCAGAUGGGAUUAGCGAGUUGGUGGGGGAACGGCUCACGAAGGCGACGAUCCCUAGCUGGGCUGGGAGGCUGACCGGCCACCCUGGAACUGAUACACGGUCCAGACUCCUACGGGAGGCAGCAGUGGGGAAUAUUGCACAAUGGACGCAAGCCUGAUCGAGCCAUGCCGCGUGAAUGAAGAAGGCCUUCGGAUUGUAAAGUUCUGUUAGCUGAGAGGCGUUACCCGCCGAAGAAGCACCGGCUAACUCCGUGCCAGCAGCCGCGGUAAUUC
RNAcentral lists this ribosomal RNA (406 nucleotides) under uncultured bacterium. RNAcentral's name for it is "partial 16S ribosomal RNA". It matches the Rfam family "Bacterial small subunit ribosomal RNA", at positions 30 to 526 of the family's 1533-position model. The record is from RNAcentral.